RNAcentral lists this ribosomal RNA (519 nucleotides) under uncultured bacterium. Its description in RNAcentral is "partial 16S ribosomal RNA". It matches the Rfam family "Bacterial small subunit ribosomal RNA", at positions 28 to 507 of the family's 1533-position model. The record is from RNAcentral.
GACGAACGCUGGCGGCGUGCCUAAUACAUGCAAGUCGAGCGAGCUUGCCUAGAUGAAUUUGGUGCUUGCACCAGAUGAAACUAGAUACAAGCGAGCGGCGGACGGGUGAGUAACACGUGGGUAACCUGCCCAAGAGACUGGGAUAACACCUGGAAACAGAUGCUAAUACCGGAUAACAACACUAGACGCAUGUCUAGAGUUUAAAAGAUGGUUCUGCUAUCACUCUUGGAUGGACCUGCGGUGCAUUAGCUAGUUGGUAAGGCAACGGCUUACCAAGGCAAUGAUGCAUAGCCGAGUUGAGAGACUGAUCGGCCACAUUGGGACUGAGACACGGCCCAAACUCCUACGGGAGGCAGCAGUAGGGAAUCUUCCACAAUGGACGCAAGUCUGAUGGAGCAACGCAGCGUGAGUGAAGAAGGGUUUCGGCUCGUAAAGCUCUGUUGGUAGUGAAGAAAGAUAGAGGUAGUAACUGGCCUUUAUUUGACGGUAAUUACUUAGAAAGUCACGGCUAACUACGUG